RNAcentral lists this long non-coding RNA (676 nucleotides) under Oryctolagus cuniculus (rabbit). RNAcentral describes it as "lncRNA (ENSOCUG00000036309.1)". Lineage: Eukaryota; Metazoa; Chordata; Mammalia; Lagomorpha; Leporidae. The record is from RNAcentral.
GCUCUUGGUAUGAAUAAGUUUUUGGCAUGAAAUCUUAACCUGGAGGGAGUUCUAAGUUGCAGAGAGCCUUUUCUAAAUUGACUAAUAAAAUUCUUCCACCUCUUUCAUUAUGAACCACAUCCCUCUGUUUCCAGGAAUUUCUUAUUUUGAGAGGUUGCAAACUGGAUCACAUCAACAUCUGCACACUGAGAACAUGAUACGGUAACUUUGAAGCUUUUAAAGGUUGAGGCUAUAUGUAAAUAUCUUACCUUGUUACUUCCACAUUGAAUCUGUGCCUUCAUCUCAGAUUCUGUAAGCUUUCUGCCUUGGUCACACUGAAGCCACACUUCUGUGGAAUAUAGGUAGUAAUAAGACUUGCUUAUAACAUCAGCCAUGAGUGGAUCUAACAGUUUAACCUGAUGAAGACUACCCUGCUCAUAUUCGGAAUAAAUUGGAAAUGAAAUCUGCUGUUCCUUGUUACAAGAAAAAAACCUUCAAACACAGUGAUGAUGCAUAUUGGCGGUGCUCCCUUAGUCUGGUUCCUAUGAGAAGAUCAUGUGGAAUAGAUCUGUGAGUGAAAAAUUCAUUGUUGUAAGCCAUUGAGGUGGUUCUUUUUUACAAGAUAAUUUCAUCUACUCUUACUGCUGUAAAUUCACAAGUAGGUGAAAAACAACAAUAACCAGAGGCUGUAAAAAAG